GCUGAUUACAAAUCUCCUUACCAGAUAAUAGAGCUAUUCCACACUCUCCCAGCCUUGGCUACCCAGAGAAAUUGUUGGGAAGAUUGAAAGAGCAGACUCGAGGAGGCUGUGCUUCAAGAGCAGCUUUCCAGAACCACACCACAGGACUGGCUGCUUCUGGGCCCCACAGCCAUGAUGCCUCUGCACCAAUCAGGAAGCUGCUGGUUUUAGAAUAACCAAAUGUCUCCACCCGUGUUUGCCAGUAAAAUCAUCUCCCUAUGCAUGGUUUCCUCCUCAUGAGGCUUCAUUUUUCCUUCCAUGUUUUGUGAGGAGUCUGUCAUUAC
This 323-nucleotide long non-coding RNA is filed under the name Pan troglodytes (chimpanzee). Its description in RNAcentral is "long non-coding RNA NONPTRT015023". Lineage: Eukaryota; Metazoa; Chordata; Mammalia; Primates; Hominidae. The record is from RNAcentral.